CCGAGGUACCCCAACGGAAUCCGGAAUAUCUCCGGUAAGAGUGGACCAUAUUUGUCCCCCAUAUGACAGUUCAAAAUAUAGACCAAUCUAGAUCUUUUGCAACCGGAAGCAUCCAAUUUGGUCAAUUCUACCAAAAGUUAUGAGAUUUAUAAGAAAAAAAAAUAGGGGUCAAAUGACUACCCGAGCGUUUGAGUGUUAAUUCCGUUUCAGAAUUCCGAUUGAGUUGACUGGGCAGUAUCUUCGAUUAGGAUUACACACUUUUGUGUAAUCAUAGUUGAACUAGAAAAAGUGUAAUGCUGUUACUCGGUGAAGCAAUAACGUUGCCCUGUCACGAAAUAUUUUAGCAGAGCUGGUUCUGUAAGAAUCCUGCUAGAAUGUUGCUACAUUUCUGUUAGAAUUCUAUAAGAAAAUGGAAACUGUGUUAGAACUCGGCUGGAAACCAACCAACGAAUGCCUACUCAUUUAGGUACACUUCUUUUAUUACGUAACGCUAAAAUUUUGAUUUUUUGACCCCCUCGCCCUUCGUUUAAAAUGUCCAUAUAAAUUUCAAAAAACAUACUUUACUCGUUCGAUCCCCCACCCCCUCAACCCACACCACCAACUGCGUUACGUAAUAAAAGAAUGCGGCACUUGUAUCAGAAGAAAGUGAGGCAUUUUCGCUAGUUGUAACAUAAGUGUAGCGAAUUCGAAUAUUUGUAGCCUUGAUCAAUGUUUUAUGUGCCAAAUGAAUAAUUAAACAUAAAAGUGUAGAAAAGCACAGCACUAGCGUAGAAUUAGAUCCACAGUCUCGCUUGAAAGCUCGACGCGAGGAGGAAUAUUUCUUGCACUCGAUCGUCACCGCCUGCGACGAUGCUCAAUCUGAAGAAGAGAGACAGGAGGAUGAGAAGGAAAAUGCGGCACGAUCGCGGCAGCAAGCACUAGUUGCCUGCAAGCCGCCAGUGAAGGUGCAUAACCGAGUUAAAGGCGCGAAGAAAAUUAGCGUGGGACGCGGUGGCACGAGGGCGACAUUCAUCGAGGAGCGCGCAAAAAACCGGCCUCCAAAGGACCCGUUCGUCCACUCCCAACGUUGCCGGCCGUCCGAAACAAAAACCAUCCGGAUUAACCGAGCAUGUGCCCGUGGACCGGCUGCUGACGCAGACGAACCAUAGACGUGGUGGUGAAUUACGGAGCUUCCCGGUCGGAAGUGGACGGCACCAGGCAGAGGCAGGCCCGCGAAGCACAAUAAAACAUCUACCAAGCACGCAAAACAUCACGACACAAGCCGGCACCAAGUGCGAGCCAGCGGAGGCGUCGGUAACGCAGAUCGCCGGGCGCGUCGCUAACCGUAGCAAAUCUCAAGUCGAGACCGAGCGGCCUCACCCAAAGGAGAACGAUCAGAGGGGUCGGUAAAGUAGCCGGCACGAACCAACGCUCACUAGGCCAGAACGCUCCAUCGGUCCAGGACCUGUGGCAUUCAUUCCACCGUCGUCGCCGGAUCACGUACGAUAGAGCACAACGCGAAUCCCGCGAACGGGAACCGAGGACACAGGACGUCACUGGAUCGCUGCCGAUAAGUUGCGUCGAGGUCUUGGAGUAGUUGCACGCGAUUGGAAGCCAAACGCCCCCAAGAAACACGGGGGCGUUUUUUGGGACACUUGAGUCAUUGGAGUUUCGGCGCUCGAGGUUGGACGUGCGGAAGGCCGGCAGUCCGGAGAGGAGCAUUCGGUUCGCGAGGCACGCGUAGGGACGCUGCAGGAAAGCGUCGAAGAUCAGACGCCGGCACAUUGGAGAGGAGGCACGCGCAUCGCAACGGCUCGUCGAUCAACAGCUCACCCGCCAGUGGCACCGUAAGGCGUGUUACGUUACGCGCGCACGAUGAGCGGACAGCGCGUCGAGCUGAGCGAGGACUGUGCAAAGAAGAAGUGAUGGGCCCAUCGCGUGUGUGAGUAGUGCGUUAGUAAUAAAGACGAAGAGAAAAAAGAUUGGCGUAGGUUUUAGGCUUUAGAGAGUGAGAGGCAGAUCUAGAACGAUGAAUC
Molecule: long non-coding RNA, 2015 nt
Organism: Culex pipiens pallens (northern house mosquito)
Lineage: Eukaryota; Metazoa; Arthropoda; Insecta; Diptera; Culicidae
Exons: 6
Source: RefSeq, a predicted model, not a curated record